UUCCAGAGUUUGGAGAAUAAGCCAAGAGUCUGCUGAUCAUCUGACUUUUGUCCAGUAUAUAUACCACAUGACAAAUGUCCUUAUCAUUUCAGCAAAGUGGGACAAAACUCUUUUAAUAUAUUUUUUUCAUAUAUCAAAUUAGACUUGAAAUCCCAAAGUAGGAUCCAUCUGUUUCCCAAUUGGAGCCCCUGUUGAAGAGGUGGAGUAAUCAUCAUGGAUGUGCACAGCAGGUCAACCUCAACAGAGAGACAAUAUGGGAAGUGUGUGUCUCAAUAUAAACAGGGAUUGGUGAUCAGAGGGCCUACCCAAGUCGUUUGCUCUAAACUUUGAGAUGGUAUAUCCUUCUCCUAAUAUUUUCCAGAUAUUAUCAAAGUUUAGUAUUCUUAAUAUAAUUGCUUAUAACAAUUAUAUUAAGAUGUGGACUUACAUCUUACAUGGAUUUAUGGGUGCUAAUUUAUAUAUAUAAUAUAGGAAUUACUCUUAUCUCUCAGAUAUAAUAGCACAGUGGUUCUUUCCAGGACAUGGUAAAAUUUCCCUCAGUGGAGGAUUGGUUGGCUAUAUUUUAGACACAGAAGUUGUUUUUACAAUUUAUUAUUUGAGAAUCUGAGAUAUUUAUGGAUGAAUACAAACUCCUUAUAUGUUAUGAAUGUGUAUGUAUGGAUAUAAGAUUUUAUUUCUGUUGAAAUCUGAUCAUCUCUCUAUUACUGUUAUUUAAAUUGGGUUUAAUUUCUCAAUAAACCCCAAGACUCUAUAGAGAAGCUAAGAUUAGCAUGGAAGGUGGGUGAGGUUGUUGACUAGUGAGGUGUGGUGGAUGUGGAGCAAAGGUUUUCUUCCCUGUGUCCAGGACAUUCAGGGAGAGUUUUGUGUGCUUGGUACCAUGUCCACAUAGACCACCUGGAGGCCAGGAUCAGAGCUGACAAAUAGAGAAGAGAGAUGGAGACAAUGUCCAGGAAUUGCAACUCAGGAUCAAAAUUUGAAAUGUGCCCAACAAUCCUUUUACAUUUUCUGUGUGUGCUUGUCUGUGGGCAACCAGAGCUCAUCCAAUCUUCUUUGGAAAGAUCACUGUAAAACUUUCAUUUUGACUGUGUUGACCUCUACCUUAUUCAUUUCCCAAUGGGGUUGAAGCCUGUUUCUUUGGUGGUAAAUUUGACAUUGGAUAGUCCAAGUUUCAUGGUCAGUAAUUUUGGUAUGU
Sciurus carolinensis (gray squirrel) is the source of this 1192-nucleotide long non-coding RNA. RefSeq lists it as uncharacterized. The record is from RefSeq and is a predicted model, not a curated record. Lineage: Eukaryota; Metazoa; Chordata; Mammalia; Rodentia; Sciuridae. The transcript has 4 exons.